CCUAGCCUCUGAGAGUGGGAUAGCUUCUGGAAACGGAUGGUAAUACCGCAUAACAUCAUGGAUUCGCAUGUUUCUAUGAUCAAAGAUUUAUCGCUCAGAGAUGGACUCGCGUCUGAUUAGCUAGUUGGUAAGGUAACGGCUUACCAAGGCGACGAUCAGUAGCCGGACUGAGAGGUUGAUCGGCCACAUUGGGACUGAGACACGGCCCAG
This 210-nucleotide ribosomal RNA is filed under the name uncultured bacterium. Its description in RNAcentral is "partial 16S ribosomal RNA". It matches the Rfam family "Bacterial small subunit ribosomal RNA", at positions 124 to 334 of the family's 1533-position model. The record is from RNAcentral.